AACGCACCUUGCGCUCCUUGGUAUUCCGAGGAGCAUGCCUGUUUGAGUGUCAUUAAAUUCUCAAUCUCUACAGCUUUUGUUGUUUAGUAGAUUGGAUGUGGAGGUUCUUUGUGUGGGAUGCAAAUCCCUCACUCCUCUUAAAUGUAUUAGCUGGAAUGCCUCCGCAUAUCUGACUAUCAGUGUGAUAAUUAUCUAUACUGUAGUUGUUGCAUGAGGGUAUCUGCUUCAUUAACCGUCGCAAGACAACUCUAAUGACCAUCUUGACCUCAAAUCAGGUAGGACUACCCGCUGAACUUAA
Molecule: unclassified non-coding RNA, 298 nt
Filed under: uncultured fungus
Lineage: Eukaryota; Fungi
Also listed under: 1 other name
Description: partial contains 5.8S ribosomal RNA, internal transcribed spacer 2, and large subunit ribosomal RNA
Rfam family: 5.8S ribosomal RNA (bases 1-52)
Source: RNAcentral